UAUAGUUGAAGGCAAACAUGUAGAAGCAGAAGGGUCUAGGGCUGAGGUGGAAGAUAAAAAAUGUGAGGUGUUACUGGACAGCUGUGGGUCCUGUGGGUCAAAGGAAGAUGGAAUGUCUGCAAGGAUGGUGGGAGCAACAUGUUGUGGGGAUACAUUUCUGUAAGAAGAACUGGUGAUCUGUUAGCCAAAUGUAGAAGGAUUCUUCAUCAAAACCUGGCCCAGAGCCUGGACUUAAAUCUGAUUGAAAAUACCUAAAAUGGCUGUCCAGUAAUGCGCCCAUCCAACCUGACUGAGUUUGAGAGGGUCUGCUGAGAACCUAUACCUAUACCCCAAAACAGAUCUGCCAAGCUUCCAGAGAAACAUCCAAGAAGAUCUCAAGUCCUAAUUGUUGUCAAAACUUCUACAACAUACAGAAAAAUAGGAAUACUUACGUACAUGUUUAAUUUGCAAAAAUUAACAAAAAAUAUCAACAGUAAAAUGAUGAAGACAUAGAAACAUAAGAAACCGAAACACCAAAGGAUCAUAACAGUCAAGUGCUGGACUAAAAAGGAAUGAAAUUUCUUUUUUAAAUUACUUAUUAUGAAAUAAUUAGUAUUAUGACAUUUCUACCAGUUUCACCAGUUUUUAUACAGAUAUAGACAAACAAUUGUUCAAAUAUGAUCCUGACCAUCUCAGAUAUUUAAAAUGAUAUGACUAAUCCUGACAUGCCUGGAUAUCCCUGCUGUUGAGACACGAUACAGACUCAGAGGACAGCUCAGGAAUUUUCUCUCAUCUCCUGUCUGACACACCCCACAGAAGUAACAUCCUAUCUCUAUAAAUAAUCCCCUGACCCAUUCAUGACCCAUGCUUUCUCAGGCCUACAGGUACAUACUGCUAAAUCCUCAAAAUUCUGCACUCUUUGUCCGGGGAGUAGCACAUUCUGACUUGCAAUCUGAAUGUCAAUGAAAAUAAUGCCUAUUAAUGUGUAACAUAAAUUGUACUCUGGUAAUGGCAUCUGUGUUAUCCCUGCCAUCUGCAAACCCAACACCCAGCAAUUCACAGACUUUGCCAAGGCUGCCAAUAAUAAACAUGACCUGUCUGCACUCAUUCAGAAGCAGUGACAAAGCAAGAAGCUGCUGAUGGUAAAGCCUAUAUUAUUGUUUUUUUAUUUAUACCUAAAAAUUUUAAAAAGCAGGUGUCAUCUUAUCCAGAUUACCUUAGGUUUGAUCUACCACGUUUCAGAACACACCAGUUAUUAUUACACAUUGCGAACAAGAUCAGUGUGACUGAGUAAUGUAUUUACACUCCAAACAUGGCCCUAACAGGUCAAAUCUGACAAGUACUUUGGUUGUUCAAAUUAUCUCUGAACUUAAACUAGACAAAAUGUGAAAAUGCAGUGCCAGUGGACUGUUGGAAAGAUGAUCUGCUGAAGAAGCUGACUAAAGCAGAGACACUUCUUUAAAAAGUACAAGUAGCGGAAAAAUAUUUCAAUGGAAAACAUCUCAACAAUGUAUUUAAAGAAAUACAUUAAGACUAGAAAAUUACUGAAGAAACCUAUGUCAAACCAAAUAACCACAUGAAGCUAAACAAUUAAUAGUAAUUUAAGUGCUGAUGAAUCAGCAGAUUAGAAUGACAGAAAACACCAGUAAAAUUACCCUGGAGGGUUAAAUAAACUGACAGAGUUAAACAAUAGAGCAUUAAGACGUUAAGAGAUGAGGGUGAGCACAAAAGUGGAAAACCACCCACAUGUGUAAUAUAGAAAUCAGUUUAAACUGCUAACAUGCUAAUAGUACCAUGUUAGCAGCAUUAGCUUGUUAGUUUUUGAUGGUGAGUCUCAUCUACUAUGCUUAAUUUAGGUAGUGUGCUAGAGCUAUUAAAUAUGACACCAUACUACUAGCACGCUGGGAUACUAGUAGUAGGUAACAUGCUAUUAAUAACAUGUAAGCUAAUACUAUCUACCAUCCUAACAGGUUAUAUGUAUGCUAUGAACAGCAAUAGCAACAAUUUCUGUUAUACUAAAGUUAGUAUGCUAGCAUAAACUAAUAUCCCAGCAUUAGCUAAAAGGUUACUAUGAACGUGUUAGCAAACAGUAGCUAACACUUACAAAUGUGCUAAAAGUGCAAACUAGUGCGGUGAUAUAAGAACUGAUGUGAAAUGAUCCAUUUUCCCAGUGUUGGUCAGGACUCUGGCUGCCGCAUUUUGGAUGAUCUGCAGUUGCUUGAUAGAUUUUUAAAAGAGAUUAGUAAAGACACUGUUGCAGUAAUCUCACCUACUGAAAAUAAAGACAUGCCCCAGUUUUUCUGUGUCCGGAUGUAACAAGAAGCCCUUCAGCCUGACAAUGUUUUUUAAAAUGAUAGUAAGCUGAUUUACCAACGGACUUUAAAUGGUUGUUAAAACCAUUGCACCAAAAUACAAUAAUCUCAAGCCAGCCAUCUGGCAUCAACCAUCCCUGAACAUUUAAAAUUAGAUAUGGGCAAAUGGCUCACAGUCCAGGGCACCAUCCUUCUAGGGGCAGCAGAGCACUUGAAUAAGAAGAGAAAGUAUAAUGUGAAUUUUGCCUAAGAAAAUAUGGCUGUACACAAGUGAAGGCUAAAAUCACUGAAAUUGGCAUCUAAUUUGUAGAUUCCUUGUUGGCAUGGUUUGAAACUGGUCAGACUAAGAGUAGAUUGCUCUGCACUGAAGACAGAUUCUGAAACAAAGAAUUUGAGAUUUAUGGAACCUUUAUUCUUUUUGUCGAAACAGGCACAAUAUAACAAUAUUUAGUUGUUAGAAGCACUUGAAGUCUUGAUGCAACAACACUGUCUUUCGGUUUAUUUUAGACUGCCAUUUAAGAUUCUUUUACUGACUUUUAGAGGUCUUCAUGGACUGGCACCAGAUUUUAGCAGAGGGAUUCUGCACCUAUAUGUCCCUGGCAGGUCAUGAGGUCUUGUGACUAGGGCAUGCUGAUGGUUUCCCAUACUAAGAUGAAAACAAAAGGAGACAGAAUAUUCUGCUCAGUGGCCGCUAGACACUGGAACUCCCCUCCUUUCAUCUUGAGACCAGUGGACUCUGUGGUUUGUUUUAAGAGCCAGUUAAAAAGAUAUUUUUUUAUCUGCUUUUUCUUAGGUUCUCUUGUUUUGAUGCAUUGUUGGCUCUUGUGAGGCACAUUGUGAUUUUAUAUAUUGUAAGGUGCUAUAUAAAUAGAGUAUUACCCUAGAUUGAGACAAGCAUUAGCAGAUUAAUUUAUACAUAAAUGGCCCGGGGCGCCAUUUAUUCAUCCUGCUUAGUGUUAUAAAUUAAUGUCCUCUUUCUUCUCUGUUCCGUCCUUUUUUUGGUUCUGGUCAUUUGAGUUAAUUUUUGCAAUCUAGUGUUUGUUCAAUGUAUUGCUAUAUUAAAUCUGUCAAUGACAAUGAUUUCUUAGAAUGUUUAACAUUAUACAUACUGUAAAACUGUCCAGCAAUUCAUGCAGUGCAUCCAAUACCAGGUGGCUGCUUUGUGCAAAUCUGACUAAGACAGCAGAAGACAUCACUGUGUGAUUUGAAGAUUUGCUACUUUACUCAUUCUGCGUAUUUUUGUGAAUUACCGAGUGAAGAUGAGUGACUAAUGUGUACUUACAAGCAAUUAGAGUCUAAAAUGACGAAAGCUUCCACAGACAGUAUCACCACAGAGUCUGUCACUCUUGUUAUACUCCUUGAUCCUCAGCAGACCCCCCCGUCUACCAGCUGUUUCAUGUAUAGCACUCAUUUUCCUCCCUUCCCUGCUGGCCUCUAUGUUAAACAUAGCAACAGAGUGACUCGUUAGAUAGGGAUGAGCUGAGACAGGUGUCCAUCAUAACUGUCCCCUCUGGAUUUUCCCACUGAGGGCCAGCAGAGGGACCAGAGACGGCUGGUUUACGUCUAAUCUCUGAUGUCGCAUGUCACUGAUGCAGUUUCCUGCCUGAAGCUCUUGGCUUUUGUUUGACCAAAUGUUGUGUGGAUUGCUGCUGGCAUGUGAAUCUUUUCUCCCAGUGGAUGUAGGUUUAAAACAACACAGGCCUGGGUUUCUGUAGCAAGCAACUUUCAAAUCACAGUCAUAUAAAUUGUGACACUUGUAUGUGGGAUCUGUUUCAGGAAUGGGUUUAAUGAGAGAAUAAUACAUUUACCAAGGAUAGUUUUCAUGAGAAUAUACCUGUUAUAUUCAUUAAUAAAGACUUUCAUGAGUUUGAACUUUUCAGUUGUGCAUUUAGAUUAUUUUCUUCAUGUAUUUAGUUUUCAAAAGAGUCAAAAUGUUUUAAAACUGUACCUUACUAAUUGUGAGUGUUGUUUAUCUUAAGAGGGUAAAUUCUUUAACACAUAAGGAAUAUUUUUAUGGGGUUGUAUUAAGUAAUUGUCUUUUAGACUGUUUGACUUAGAUAAAAUGUUUUUGCUAUUCUUCCCUAAGGUAUAAGCACCAUAGUUUGCUGGAAUUUUGGCACAUUCCUCCUAACAGAACUGCUGUAACUGAGUCAGAUUUGUCGGCUGCCUUGCUUGCACACACAUUUUUAGCUCGACUCAUACAUUUCUGCAUUAGAUUGAGAUCAGAGCUUAAAAAUGGCCAUUCCAAAACAUUCACUCUGUUGUCCUUGAGCCUGAAGGUCAUUGUUCCUUUAGAAGACCCAUUUGUGCUCAAGCUUAAACUUCCUAUCUGAUGUCUUGAGAUGUUGCUUCAGUAUUUUCACCUAAUGUUCUUUCCUGAAGUGCACCAGUCCCCCCUCUGCAGUAAAAUACCCACACAACAUGAUGCUGUCACCUUCGAAUGCCACGGUUGGGAUUGUGUUCUCAGGCCUCCCCCUCAUUAUGUCAAAGCACAUCGAAUUUAGAUUCAUACGACCACAACCCAUGGACUCGCUUCACUGUGGAUAAUGACACUCUGCUCACCCUCCCACACACAUACAAAUCCACACACACACAAUUUCUAUAAGUGGUUGAAGGUCAUACAAAUACAGGUUACAAUAACAUUAAAGUGGCCUGUCUACUUGGAUGCUGGAUAGAAUCUGGAAUUAAUAAAAGUGAUAAUGCAGUUAGGAUACUGUGUUGAGAUAACCUUUUUGUAGAGCAAAGCUGUCCUGGCACAUGUAGGCAAUCAUCUGCUCUAUAUGGUAUGCCUGAAACGCCUCGACAGGACACGUAAAAAAACAAAAACAUAUGUCCCCCUAGUCCAACCCCUCUAAAUUAGUCUGGCUAUUUAUCCAAGGUCAGCAUAUCUUUCUUAAGGAAAUUUGUAUUAGAUAUUUACGUUAGAUGUUACAAAGUAAGAAGAGCUGGUUAGAGGAAAAGAACAGCUCCAUGAACAACAAUUUAUAAGUGGCAGGAUAUUUUAUACUACAGUCCACAUAGUAAGCAUUGUUCCAUGGACAUUGCUCAAGUAGGAAAAAUCCAUAAAUUUCACCGAACAUUUUAUCCAAAGGUUUAUGCAAAUUCAAUGUUGUCCCUUGAAUUUUCUAAAGUAAGAUUAGUCUGAAUCUAUCUGCUACAGGUAAGAUACAGGCAACUGGAAAAAACAAUCCAUUAAGAAGUUUUAAGUCACGUUUAUGUGUUAACAACCAUGUAUACAACUGAAAGCAAUUAGACACAAAGUAAGGAGAUUGUCAUUUUAUUUUUUUAAUAAAUCCAAACUUACUGAACCAUGGACAGAAACCCAGAGGUUGUCUUGUGCAGAUUUUUCUCUGAAUUUGUUUCGAGUAUGUUCAGACUAAUUUGUUCUUGAUACUAACAUCCAGUAAGAAACGAUAUAGUUUUGAUCAGAGGAAAGUUAAGGUUUAUUUGUAUAGCAAAUUUCCACAACAAGACAGUUUAAACCAGUUUACAUGAUGAAAACACAUAAAGUACUUUACUGUGGCAUAAUAAAGGAAAAUAAAGAAAGGCUUGACUACAAAUUGAAAUUAAUUUUGUUUCAGUUUAUAGUUUAAAAGGAACAGUCAAUGGCAACUCUUGACAAAUGGGGUUUUAACUCUGAUUAGAAAUAACUCAGGCUUUCAGCCUUUUUGCAGAACUGAAUGCUGCUUCUUCAUGUUUGGUUCUAAUUCUGGAGAUGCAGCAUAGACUUGAACCAGAAGAUCUAAGUAGUCUAGAAGAUUGAUGGAACGACAACAAAUCUUUAAUAUAUUUGGUGCUAAGCCAUUCAGUGAUUUAUAAACUAACAAACAUAUUUUAAAGUAUGUUCUCUGAGAUACAGGGAGCCAGUGUAAGGACUUUAAAACUGGGGUGAUGUGCUCCACUGUCUGGGCGUUCAGGUCUGACUCCAUCACUACACCCAGAUUUCAGGCCUGAUCUAUGGUUUCUAGUUGUAGUAACUGAAGCUGUGUGCUGACUUUUGAUCACUUCUCCUUUGCUUCUCCUUUGAUCGUAAAACAAUUACAUCAGUUUGUUUUCAUUCAACUGAAGUAAAUUAUGACACAUCCACGAAUUGGUUUGUUCUAUGCAUCUACCUAGCGCUUUAAUAAGUUCAUAGUCACCUGGUGACAUUGUAAUGUAGAGCUGUGUGUCUUCUGCAUAGUUAUGGUAACUUGUCUUAUUGUUUGUUAUGAUCUGAGCUACGGAGAGCAUGUAAAUAUUGAAUAGGAGGGGACCCAGGAUGGAACCUUUGGGGACCCUGCAUGUGAUUUUUGUCAACUCUGAUUAAAAGUUACCUAUUGACACAAA
Girardinichthys multiradiatus is the source of this 6617-nucleotide long non-coding RNA. RefSeq lists it as uncharacterized. The transcript has 2 exons. The record is from RefSeq and is a predicted model, not a curated record. NCBI's taxonomy places the organism in Eukaryota, Metazoa, Chordata, Actinopteri, Cyprinodontiformes, Goodeidae.